Molecule: long non-coding RNA, 3518 nt
Organism: Daphnia magna
Lineage: Eukaryota; Metazoa; Arthropoda; Branchiopoda; Diplostraca; Daphniidae
Exons: 2
Source: RefSeq, a predicted model, not a curated record
UAAAGCGAGACAACAAUGGCUGCGAGCGCAUAAUCAAACGUGGCGACAACAAACAAACCCACAUGAAAGGCGAAAAAUAGUUCAAUAGGAAGUUCUCGGACGACAAAAAAAAAAAAAGAAACAUCUUCCUUUUCUGUGUGUGUGUGUGUGUGUGUGUCCAAUCACUCGGAAGUCAGUCCGCUUAUGUGGAGUUUGUAUAGCCAUUGAGUGGCAAAGCCAAGUGGAGAGCAACAGCGCAACCACACCAUCAAGUCGCAUUGAAAAUGUCUAUCGACUAACUGUCACACACACACACACACACACACAAUGCAGCGCUAGUGUAGCGAUUCCGCACUUACACUGGGUUGCGUUCAAACAGUUUCUUUUUACUUGCGUCCAUCUCUUUCGUCUAAAAGGAUGGCUACUAACGCCCCCCCCCCUCUUUUUUUUUCGUUGUUGUUGUUGCGGUGCAACAAUUCUUGACAAACGGAAUCCUUUUCUCCGUUGUUGUUGUUGUUGUUGUUCAGUAGCUAUGGAGAAAAAAUUCAGCUCGCGAGUCGGGGUCCUUAUGUUUCUUUCUAUUUGCCUCCACCCAUCCAUCGCAGCCAUCAACCGGGGGGGGUUUCUGACCGACACACGCGAAACCGACCGAACCCCCCACCCUAACAACAACUUUGCCUUUCCUUCUAUAGAGGCACGUGCUUUACGUCUUUUAGCUGUGUGUCUACUUUCUCCCGCUUCUCUCCCGCGGGUGAAUCAAUACCCCAAGCUGCUAUGGCGACGCAUUGCAAAUGGAGUCAUAUGGGGGAAAUCGGUUGGGGGGGUCUCUCUACUGAACACAUCAAAUAUUUAUUUCUACUUUUUUUAUAUUUUAUUUUAUUUUUUUUUUUUUUUUUAAAGAUUAAACAUAAAAGUAAACGCAGUCAGAAUAACAAAAGCAAUACGAUCGUUUUUUCUUAGUUUCUUUUUUGGGAGUUGAUCAUCGGCCUUCAAUUCGUGGACGUAUAUUUAAAUUUAAACUAAAUUUGAUCUAAAGAGAUGUGAGAUAUUCUCGUUGGAUUUUAGCACGUUGAACUAAUUCAAAGAUCGAACCGGAAAAAAAAAAAUUGGAAUCGUUUCUUCCUAACUUUUGUUUUGUUUUGUUGCAAGGAUUAAACUAGGCCAGCGGGGUGACUCUGAUGGAUCGAUGUCGUUAACGUCAAGGAUGAAGCGCAUCACCUUUUCGACAAAAAGAAAUCCAUUCGGUUUACAGCUGUAACGAGCUACCGCACGACCAUCAGCGAUCUUGAUAAUCGAUACAACAGUUUGUUUCGCUCGAAGCUCCUAACAUCCCUCAUCACGGACGUAUGGUCUUUGCUGUCUGCCUAUUCUGAAUAGCCACGCCCUUCGGGAAAAACGAAAGUUAAUGGGCGACUUGUCCGCCUCUUUUUUUUCCUCGAGUGUGGGGAAAUGAACGAGAUGCCCCAUUCAAUCAACAUCCAACACGCGCGUGCCGGUGCGGGACGGCUCUCAAUGUGAUCGAACGUAUGGGUGUGUUUAGCUCCCCGCCACUUUCCAUUCCAAUCGAUCAAUAUCCAAAUGAUUGCUAAUCACUUAAAGUAAAAAUUGUGGCUUUUUAUUUCUAAUUGUCUCUGAUGCUGCACAUCAUUUUCUGAAUUCCGGCGGAGCGCAUUCGGAAUAAAACGCUAAAAUAAGUUCAUCGACAGUGAGACACGAAAUGCGCUCAAAUCUAUUGAUGUAAAAAGCGCAUUUGAAUCGGCGUGGGUGUCGAAGAGAUCAAACAGCGCAAAACUUUUCUCCGAGAAAGAGGGCAGCACCAGUCGGCAGAAAAUGAACGCAGCCGCUAGUAACUUUUAGUUUUGGGAAAUGAACGACAGUGUUACACAUUAGCACGCAGAUGGCGCACCAUUUCUAAUGGGUUUCCGGAUGGAACUAUAGAAAUCUCAGCCCUUGUCAUGGCCACAACGACGGAAACAACAAAAACAAAAUUCAUACCCCACAAUGCGGAUUGGCUUCCGGUUUCACGUUGCGGUGGAUGGAUGACCGGAAGUGAUCGCCUCUUCGGUUGGCGAAUAGUCGGCAAAAGGCCAAUCGUCUAGUGCGCAAGAUGUCAUCAAGUUGCCGCCCAUGUUGAUGCUGAUGUGUCCGCUGUCGGCCGUUUCGGACGGCCUGGUCUUGUUGCCUCCUCCUACCAAUGCGUCAUUCAUCCGUCUUCGGUUACUGCUGCGCUGGGCUACGACGGGCGAAAAGGGUUCGGAGCCACUCUCGGAUGCAGUGGCGCCGCCUCCUUCACCACCAAUCAACUUCUCCAUCUCUGUGUCCUGGUCGGAUAGAGCUCCAGCUGAUGUUGAACCCACAGAAGUUGAACCUCCACCACCUCCACCCCCUCCACUCACUUCUCCGGAUCGCUUCAAAAUGGAUUUUUUGCGAUCGGGACUUGCGCGUCCUCGAUUAUCUUUAAAGAAAAACAACAACACAGAAAUGAAUUAAAUUGCGGAAUGCAAAUCAAUGAAACAUUGUCGUAAGGAGGUUUUUCUUAAAAAUUACCUGCGCUUUGGAGACUGUGGAAUCGAUAGUUGAGGAAACGAGUGGCGGAAGCGAUACCUUUGCCCGUCAGGAAGGAAGGCUUGCCACUGCUGGAUGGACUUGAUUUCUGACGGAAUUUUUUGUUGACCGAACCGACAAUUCCGCCUCCCUUCAAACCGAAUCCUCCGCUGCUGGCCUCUUUGUUCUUGGAAGAACUAGUGGUGACGACGGUGGUGGGGCGUUCUUCAUCGUCCGAGCUGAAAGCUUCUUUGAAUCUCGGCCGCGGUUUGUUGCUGGCCGUUUGAAUUUUUCGAUUGGCCGCUUGGGCUUUGACGGGCGAAUCAUCGUCGUCUGCUUGUUCGUUAAUCGAUUGAUAAAGUAGCCUGGAAGUCUCGUCUACCGUGACGUAAUGUUGCUGUUUGUUCUCGUUCUCCAAAGGUUUCACGUACAAAUCGGAAGCAUCUCUUUCUGCUGGACCUGUCCCGCUCUGCGGUGACCAGCCGGCCAAAUCGGUGAUACUCGGGAAGGGAUUACAGCUGGCCCAGGUGUCCGAACUGUCGAAACUGGCCAAAUCGGUAGGUCUUGUCCGUCUCUGUGACCUGGCAGGUGACGAUUUGUUGCUAGCGGACAAAUGGAUGGAGCUGGGAGCCGUGGGACACGACGACGGAUUGCGUCCCAUUGGCUGCAUUUCGAUGAGCGUCGUUGCCGGCCCAGGCGUCAUCAUAUUGAUCACAGCAGCAGCCGAGGAAGAAGAAGAAGAAGAAUAGGGCUGGAGCUUUUUCAAUCCCGGUAGCGACUCUACAAACUCAUUCAAAUCCUACGAGAAAUCCAAUAAUGAAAAACCAAAAAAACAAAAACAAGAAAACAAAACAUAAAAACCGAAUGAAAAAAAAUAGAAAAAGAAAACAGAAUCAAAGAUAUCGAACCGUAUAUAUACGCGAACCUCGAAGAUAAAAAACAACUCAAUCAAAAUGAUGUAUAUCGAAAAUCAUGAAUAAAUAGAUGCCAAUUUA